CACGAGCGCAACCCUCGUCCUUAGUUGCCAUCAUUAAGUUGGGCACUUUAAGGAGACUGCCGGUGACAAACCGGAGGAAGGUGGGGAUGACGUCAAGUCAUCAUGCCCCUUACAUCCUGGGCUACACACGUACUACAAUGCAACGGACAAAGGGCAGCCAACUAGCGAUAGUGCGCUAAUCCCAUAAACCGUUGCUCAGUUCAGAUUGCAGGCUGCAACUCGCCUGCAUGAAGGCGGAAUCGCUAGUAAUCGCAGGUCAGCAUACUGCGGUGAAUACGUUCCCGGGCCUUGUACACACCGCCCGU
This 305-nucleotide ribosomal RNA is filed under the name uncultured cyanobacterium. Its description in RNAcentral is "bacterial SSU rRNA". It matches the Rfam family "Bacterial small subunit ribosomal RNA", at positions 1091 to 1397 of the family's 1533-position model. Lineage: Bacteria; Bacillati; Cyanobacteriota. The record is from RNAcentral.